CGCCAGUCUGUAUAUACGCUUCAACUCCUGAAAUGCUAUCAGCUGCCAAUAGCACAGGCCCGGGGGGGACGCCAGCAACACGGAGGACAGGGGGAGAAGAGAGGAAGCAAACAAGAAAGGACCGGAGACAAAGUUUGUGUUAGCGAAUUAGCGUAGAAUUAAGUAGAUUAAAUGAUGGAAACCUCUGUGCCACGUGUCGGUGCCAGAGACCAAAAAGUGAUGGAGGCAGACUCGCUUUGUACUUCAUGAUCAAAACCGUCGAGUAUGUGACGGAGUCCUGCCUCAGGGCGCAGCCCGAGGAGGUGACAUGUGAAGUCGUCUCAACCAGAAAAGGGUCAGCGAUGGUCUUAAUAAUUUUGACUGGCAAUUGAAAUAAAGUCUUUCAAAAUGUCAGCACAAAGGAACAUGCUAUACAUCUGUACGUUUUUUUUGCGGAAAAAAGUUUCAAUAACCACAAAUUUGAUAUUGUAUGUUUUUCUUGUUCUUUUUUGAUUUGUAGUUGGUCAGACCAAACGAGAUGCAGAGAUGAGGAAAUGUUUUGUAUUAACCAUGUUGUUGUUUUGACAAUCCGUGAAUGUUGAAAUCACUCAAUGGAUCCUGUAAUACCACAUGUUGGAAAAGUCAAUGGACCCAAUGGAUGUUUCGGUUUCUUUCGAAACACAUUACAUUUUUUUAUACAGAAUCAACACAUAGUGACUUGUGGUUGUUGUCAGAUUGGACCUGAUUUUGUUGAACAUCCAGUGACUCCGAAUCACAAAUACUCUGGGAAAUAAACUACUGACCGUAGAAUACUGUAAAGUGUGUUUUCUUUGAUAAAAAGCCAAAUAGACGUGAACUCAAACUGACUACACCGAACCCAUGGACUCAAAAAUACCCACUAUGCAAAUACAAUAUAGUACAUACAACCAGCCAUCUUUAUUUGUAGUUCUCUUCAUUUUCUGAGGCCAGAAGGAGGUGUUUCACACGAUGCUGCCAGCCUUGGAGGAGCAGACUUAUCAAAGACGUAGGUGGCCAACAAUGUCUUGACCAGCUGGAGAGGAGCGGAGACCAGGCAGACAGGACCAAGAGGGGUGGGGAGGGAGAGACAUGUUCAGAAAUAGGAAAAAAGAGCAGACAUUAAAU
Gasterosteus aculeatus aculeatus (three-spined stickleback) is the source of this 1122-nucleotide long non-coding RNA. The record is from Ensembl. NCBI's taxonomy places the organism in Eukaryota, Metazoa, Chordata, Actinopteri, Perciformes, Gasterosteidae.